This 375-nucleotide long non-coding RNA is filed under the name Hordeum vulgare. RNAcentral describes it as "long non-coding RNA (HVUL_LNC019271)". Lineage: Eukaryota; Viridiplantae; Streptophyta; Magnoliopsida; Poales; Poaceae. The record is from RNAcentral.
CAAUUAUAGCAUGGAUAAUAAACGAUUAUCAUGAACAAAUAAAUAUAAUAAUAACUAAUUUAUUAUUGCCUCUAGGGCAUAUUUCCAACAGAUCCAUCCGGCGAUCUCAUCAUGAUCCGUCCCGCGAUCUCAUCACGAUCCUUCCCGAUCUAGCGCCGAAUGGGCGACACCUCCGCGUUCAGCACACGUACGGCUCGAUGACAUCUCCUCCUUCUUGGUCGAACAAGAGAGCAAGGAGAAGUAGAUGGGAUCUCAACCAGCACAAUUGCAUGGUGGAGAUGAUGGUGGAGCAGUGCCAGCAGGGUUCGCCAAGGGCUCCUGGAACCGAUCUAAGGCGAAAACAGAGUUAUGGGAGAGGUAGGGCUGCCACCGGAG